This 56-nucleotide transfer RNA is filed under the name Metabacillus indicus. Its description in RNAcentral is "Bacillus indicus tRNA". It matches the Rfam family "tRNA", at positions 18 to 71 of the family's 71-position model. Rfam says of the family: Transfer RNA (tRNA) molecules are approximately 80 nucleotides in length. The record is from Rfam by way of RNAcentral. Lineage: Bacteria; Bacillati; Bacillota; Bacilli; Caryophanales; Bacillaceae.
GUUAACGCACCAGAUUGUGGCUCUGGCAUUCGUGGGUUCGAUUCCCAUCAGUCGCC